This 451-nucleotide ribosomal RNA is filed under the name uncultured bacterium. Its description in RNAcentral is "partial 16S ribosomal RNA". It matches the Rfam family "Bacterial small subunit ribosomal RNA", at positions 354 to 796 of the family's 1533-position model. The record is from RNAcentral.
GUGGGGAAUAUUGGACAAUGGGGGGAACCCUGAUCCAGCCAUGCCGCGUGUGUGAAGAAGGCCUUUUGGUUGUAAAGCACUUUAAGCGAGGAGGAGGCUACCGAGAUUAAUACUCUUGGAUAGUGGACGUUACUCGCAGAAUAAGCACCGGCUAACUCUGUGCCAGCAGCCGCGGUAAUACAGAGGGUGCAAGCGUUAAUCGGAUUUACUGGGCGUAAAGCGCGCGUAGGUGGCCAAUUAAGUCAAAUGUGAAAUCCCCGGGCUUAACUUGGGAAUUGCAUUCGAUACUGGUUGGCUAGAGUAUGGGAGAGGAUGGUAGAAUUCCAGGUGUAGCGGUGAAAUGCGUAGAGAUCUGGAGGAAUACCGAUGGCGAAGGCAGCCAUCUGGCCUAAUACUGACACUGAGGUGCGAAAGCAUGGGGAGCAAACAGGAUUAGAAACCCGGGUAGUCC